This 253-nucleotide ribosomal RNA is filed under the name uncultured bacterium. RNAcentral describes it as "partial 16S ribosomal RNA". It matches the Rfam family "Bacterial small subunit ribosomal RNA", at positions 524 to 776 of the family's 1533-position model. The record is from RNAcentral.
UACAGGGGGUGCGAGCGUUAUCCGGAAUUACUGGGUUUAAAGGGUGCGUAGGCUGCCGUGUAAGUUUGGGGUGAAAGGCCAGGGCUUAACCUUGGGACUGCCUUGGAUACUGCACGGCUUGAAUUAGGAUGAGGUUGGCGGAAUGCGGCAUGUAGCGGUGAAAUGCAUAGAUAUGCCGUAGAACACCGAUUGUGAAGACAGCUGACUGGACCUUAAUUGACGCUGAGGCACGAAAGCGUGGGGAGCGAACGGG